Long non-coding RNA from Camelina sativa (false flax), 736 nucleotides. RefSeq lists it as uncharacterized. Lineage: Eukaryota; Viridiplantae; Streptophyta; Magnoliopsida; Brassicales; Brassicaceae. The record is from RefSeq and is a predicted model, not a curated record.
UAAAGAGUUUUAUCGAGAGCAAUUUUUUUUUUUUUGGCAUUGUGUUCUUUCUCUUCCUCUCUCUCGCAAAUCUCUCAAUCGGAGAAGACGGGAAUCGAAGGAGAUUGGACUGGAAUCGGGUCUUGUUACCGGAUUGAAUCCUGGUCAAUAUGAGGAACACAUGAACCGUGGAGCUGGUUUCUAUGUUGUUCCUGUGCAUCAAUUUGUUUUUAUUGUUUAGCACUAGACAUCGCACCUUGCGAUUUUGCAGGAUAAAGAAGCAGAGAAAGAGGGUGAUGGUUUGAGGAGAGGGCUUCGGUUCCAUGCAAAUUCUCCACGAACACGAACAACUCUGUUGCAGACAAGGCUUAACAAAUUGGUAGACACUUUCACACCUCUUGCUCCUUGUUCUGCUUAGUUGAAGCUCUCCUGCAGCCUACCCAUGCUCUGAUGCAGUUCCAGAUAUUACAUCGCUGAAGGUUAGGCCUUUAGAGCUACCAGAAUCUCAUGUGUGUGUUGUUGUUCUUUGAAAUCUAAAUGGACUUGGUGCCCACGCCCAACCACACUCAGCAAUGGUUCGUGUUUCAGUCUGAUGGUUCAUUCAUUGUGAGUGCAAUCUUCUUGUGUACUUUGUCAUCUUGUAUCCAAAUCUCUGUUUGGUAAUCAUUGUAUCGAGAGAAUACAAUUAAUUUGUCUAAUCUCUGUUUGGUAAUCAACAGUUUGCUUUGUUGAUCUGUUCCAUAUUUUGUUUCUUUUG